UGGGGAAUAUUGGACAAUGGGCGAAAGCCUGAUCCAGCCAUGCCGCGUGAGUGACGAAGGCCUUAGGGUUGUAAAGCUCUUUUGGCGGGGAAGAUAAUGACGGUACCCGCAGAAUAAGCUCCGGCUAACUUCGUGCCAGCAGCCGCGGUAAUACGAAGGGAGCUAGCGUUGUUCGGAAUCACUGGGCGUAAAGCGCACGUAGGCGGAUUGUUAAGUCAGAGGUGAAAUCCCGGAGCUCAACUUCGGAACUGCCUUUGAUACUGGCAAUCUAGAGUCCGGAAGAGGUUAGUGGAAUUCCCAGUGUAGAGGUGAAAUUCGUAGAUAUUGGGAAGAACACCAGUGGCGAAGGCGGCUAACUGGUCCGGUACUGACGCUGAGGUGCGAAAGCGUGGGGAGCAAACAGGAUUAGAACCCACGUAGUCCCUGAGCGGGCUGGCAAGGCGCAU
This 446-nucleotide ribosomal RNA is filed under the name uncultured bacterium. RNAcentral describes it as "bacterial SSU rRNA". It matches the Rfam family "Bacterial small subunit ribosomal RNA", at positions 355 to 825 of the family's 1533-position model. The record is from RNAcentral.